Molecule: ribosomal RNA, 253 nt
Filed under: uncultured bacterium
Lineage: Bacteria
Description: partial 16S ribosomal RNA
Rfam family: Bacterial small subunit ribosomal RNA
Source: RNAcentral
GACGAACCGUACGAACGUUAUUCGGAAUUACUGGGCUUAAAGGGUGCGCAGGCGGCUUGGCAAGUUGGGUGUGAAAUACCUCGGCUCAACCGAGGAAGGGCGCUCAAAACUGCCGAGCUAGAGGGAGAUAGAGGUGAGCGGAACUUAAGGUGGAGCGGUGAAAUGCGUUGAUAUCUUAAGGAACACCCGUGGCGAAAGCGGCUCACUGGAUCUCUUCUGACGCUCAGGCACGAAAGCCAGGGGAGCGAACGGG